CAAUAGCGUAUAUUAAUGUUGUUGCAGUUAAAAAAGCUCGUAGUUGGAUUUCUGGUUGGACCGCGAUGCCGGACUCGCAAGGGUUCGUGAUUGUUGUGGUUUCCUUCCAUCCUCAGGUUUGCGCGUGCUGGCCUUAACUGGUCGGUGGGUGUGGUCCUGUCGUUUACUGUGAACAAAUUAGAGUGUUUCAAGCAGGCAUGCGCCUUGAAUACAUUAGCAUGGAAUAAUAAGAUAGGACCUCGGUUCUAUUUUGUUGGUUUCUAGAGCUGAGGUAAUGAUUAAUAGGGAUAGUUGGGGGCAUUCGUAUUUAACUGUCAGAGGUGAAAUUCUUGGAUUAACGGAAGAUGAACUACUGCGAAAGCAUCUGCCAAGGAUGUUUUCAUUGAUCAAGAACGAAAGUUAGGGGAUCGAAGAUGAUCAGAU
This 423-nucleotide ribosomal RNA is filed under the name uncultured eukaryote. RNAcentral's name for it is "bacterial SSU rRNA". It matches the Rfam family "Eukaryotic small subunit ribosomal RNA", at positions 592 to 1013 of the family's 1831-position model. The record is from RNAcentral.